CCUGGAGGUGGGUGAAGGGGGUUGGGGUCAUCCCCAGGCUCAGGCUUGGAGCUCACCAUGCCCUCUCCUCUCUCCUGUAGGACCUGCAACAGCUGUGCUUGGCCAAGUUGGACUGCUAGGGCUGCUGCCUUCUUCCACUGCAACCUUUUCCUGACACUCUUAGCGGCCUCCAGUCCUGGUGGUCGGCGGAGGCCUCGGCAGGACCAGGAGGAGGAGGCCCGUUGGCAUCAGACCAAUGCUGCGAGGGGUGUGAGGAUUAGAACCGCCAUCCAUCACUCAGCUGCCAGACCUAGAAAGGAUGGAACUGGAGUGAGGCAGAGGGGCUGCCAGCUGCUGACCGGCACGUGAGACGCUGGUGAUUCGCGGGUCACUGAGGCUGGACAACGUUCAUGGCUCUCGGGUAG
This 404-nucleotide long non-coding RNA is filed under the name Camelus dromedarius (Arabian camel). RNAcentral describes it as "lncRNA (ENSCDRG00005006698.1)". Lineage: Eukaryota; Metazoa; Chordata; Mammalia; Artiodactyla; Camelidae. The record is from RNAcentral.